This is a non-coding RNA of Acanthosepion pharaonis, 113 nucleotides long. The record is from the annotation of a GenBank genome assembly. Lineage: Eukaryota; Metazoa; Mollusca; Cephalopoda; Sepiida; Sepiidae.
UUACGGCCACAUCACGUUGAAACACCGGUUCUUGUCCGAUCACCGAAGUUAAGCAACGUUGAAUCUGGUCAGAAGCUAGAUGGGUGACUAAUGGUGAAUACCAGGUGCUGUAA